CGGCUUUCUGACAACAAUCGCUCCAUGCUCGAUACUUCUUGUACUGGCUCUUUUAUGAUGAAGACUAUUGAGUUCAAAUGGGAUUUAUUGGAAAGAAUUAAACGCAACUCUGAAGAUUGGGACCUCGACGAAGGUAAGGAGUCAGGUAUAACAUUUAAGUUUGAUUGUGUUAAAUCUUUUAUGGAUACCGAUGUUUUCCGUAAAUUUAGCACUAAAUAUGGACUUGACUCUGAGAUAGUAGCUUCUUUCUGUGAAUCUUUUGCUGCUCACGUUGAUCUCCCUAAGGAGAAGUGGUUUAAAUAUCAUCCUCCCAUAGAAGUAAAAGUAGUUGCACCUAUUAAAGUUGAAGAAAAGACUAUCACUUAUAAUGAUCCUAUUGUUCCUACUGCUUAUGUUGAGAAACCACCUUUCCUUGUUAGAAUAAAGGAUCAUGCUAAAGCUUCAACUGUGGUUCGUAAAAGCAAUAUUAGAACUUAUACACCUCCUGAGCAAGUUAAAUUUGAACCUAAUAUUGCUAUUGUUAAAGAUCUCUUGGCUGAUAAUAUUGAUGGGCAUGUUAUUUAUUUCUGUGAUGAGACUGCUAGAAUUGCUAAACCUAGUGCUAAAGAUAAAUAUAGACCUGUGGUAGGCAUGCCU
Molecule: ribosomal RNA, 636 nt
Filed under: Triticum aestivum (bread wheat)
Lineage: Eukaryota; Viridiplantae; Streptophyta; Magnoliopsida; Poales; Poaceae
Description: partial small subunit ribosomal RNA
Source: RNAcentral